This 342-nucleotide ribosomal RNA is filed under the name uncultured Pseudomonadota bacterium. Its description in RNAcentral is "bacterial SSU rRNA". It matches the Rfam family "Bacterial small subunit ribosomal RNA", at positions 112 to 488 of the family's 1533-position model. The record is from RNAcentral. Lineage: Bacteria; Pseudomonadati; Pseudomonadota.
AACGCGUGGGAACCUGCCCAGUAGUAGAGAAUAACUUGAGGAAACUUAAGCUAAUACUUUAUACACCCUUCGGGGAAAAGCUUUAUGCGCUAUUGGAUGGGCCCGCGUUAGAUUAGUUUGUUGGUGAGGUAAUGGCUCACCAAGACUACGAUCUAUAGCUGGUCUGAGAGGAUGAUCAGCCACACUGGGACUGAGACACGGCCCAGACUCCUACGGGAGGCAGCAGUGGGGAAUAUUGGACAAUGGGGGCAACCCUGAUCCAGCGAUGCCGCGUGAGUGAUGAAGGCCUUCGGGUUGUAAAACUCUUUCGUCAGGGAAGAUAAUGACGGUACCUGAAGAAGA